This 410-nucleotide ribosomal RNA is filed under the name uncultured microorganism. Its description in RNAcentral is "bacterial SSU rRNA". It matches the Rfam family "Bacterial small subunit ribosomal RNA", at positions 509 to 917 of the family's 1533-position model. The record is from RNAcentral.
CAGCCGCCGCGGUAAUACGUAGGGUGCGAGCGUUAAUCGGAUUUACUGGGCGUAAAGCGUGCGCAGGCGGCCCGUUAAGACAGGUGUGAAAUCCCUGGGCUCAACCUAGGAAUUGCGCUUGUGACUGGCGGGCUCGAGUACGGUAGAGGGGGGUGGAAUUCCUGGUGUAGCAGUGAAAUGCGUAGAGAUCAGGAGGAACACCGAUGGCGAAGGCAGCCCCCUGGGCCUGUACUGACGCUCAUGCACGAAAGCGUGGGGAGCAACCAGGAUUAGAUACCCUGGUAGUCCACGCCCUAAACGAUGGGUACUAGCCGUUUGGUGCGCGAUAGCGCUGAGUGGCGAAGCUAACGCGUGAAGUACCCCGCCUGGGGAGUACGGCCGCAAGGUUGAAACUUAAAGGAAUUGGCGGG